This 252-nucleotide ribosomal RNA is filed under the name uncultured Odoribacter sp. RNAcentral describes it as "partial 16S ribosomal RNA". It matches the Rfam family "Bacterial small subunit ribosomal RNA", at positions 524 to 776 of the family's 1533-position model. The record is from RNAcentral. Lineage: Bacteria; Pseudomonadati; Bacteroidota; Bacteroidia; Bacteroidales; Odoribacteraceae.
UACGGAGGAUGCGAGCGUUAUCCGGAUUUAUUGGGUUUAAAGGGUGCGUAGGCGGUUUUUUAAGUUAGUGGUUAAACGUCGGGGCUUCACCUUGAUUUGCCAUUAAUACUGUAAGACUCGAGUUCAGACGAGGUAGGCGGAAUAAGUUAAGUAGCGGUGAAAUGCUUAGAUAUAACUUAGAACUCCGAUAGCGAAGGCAGCUUACCAAACUAUAUCUGACGUUGAGGCACGAAAGCGUGGGUAGCAAACAGG